Long non-coding RNA from Pongo pygmaeus (Bornean orangutan), 242 nucleotides. RefSeq lists it as uncharacterized. The transcript has 3 exons. The record is from RefSeq and is a predicted model, not a curated record. NCBI's taxonomy places the organism in Eukaryota, Metazoa, Chordata, Mammalia, Primates, Hominidae.
UGAAGAUGCAACUGUGGUGACUGGAAGUCCAGGAAAGCAGCAGGGAGGGGCCAAGCCUCUGCAGCACUGUCUCCCCAACCUAGAUUGAAUCUGCUCAGAGACAGGAGGGACUUUCUGUUGCAAGGGAAAGGCCAUGCUCCUGCCAGAAUGCCGAAGACACUGGAGUACUUUACAGGGGACUGUUUCUUAGUUCCAUGGAGAGAACAGGCUGGUCUCGAACUCCUGUACUCAAGCAAUCUGCC